Poecilia reticulata (guppy) is the source of this 5773-nucleotide non-coding RNA. NCBI's taxonomy places the organism in Eukaryota, Metazoa, Chordata, Actinopteri, Cyprinodontiformes, Poeciliidae. The record is from RefSeq and is a predicted model, not a curated record.
CCAUGAGUUUGCGGUAGCUCCGGGCGCUACUGUAGCUGCUAUGUCUACUUGUUUGUCUGCUCCCAUUACUGCGGGUGAUGCUGCCUCAGGAGGAAAAGUGAAAUCCAGGCUGGAGACGCAGGGAGGAACUUGUGAGGUGAUCGCUGCUCACAGGUGCUGCAACAAGAACCGUAUCGAGGAGCGUUCGCAGACGGUCAAAUGCUCCUGUUUGCCCGGGAAAGUGGCCGGGACGACACGCAACAAACCCUCCUGCGUGGACGCGUCCAUUGUAAUUGGGAAGUGGUGGUGUGAGAUGGAACCAUGUCUGGAGGGAGAAGAGUGCAAGACUCUGCCUGACAACUCUGGAUGGAUGUGCUCGUCUGGGAACAAGAUCAAGACCACAAGGAACACCCAGCCAUACUCCCCUUUUUAGCUUCUGGAAGCAAAAUGCAGAGGAUGCGUCAACAGAAAUUGAGCUGCAUUCUUGCUUCUGUAAAGAGGGGGAGUCCUUCACUGCCUGUUCUGUGUCAGCAGACAGGACAGACGCUUUUGUUUGUGGAGGUCACAGUGAGAGCAAUGCUGGGGAGCAACCUCCAAAAAAAGUCUCGCCCGCCAUAUAUCUACAUUACGGGUUUUGCUGGCCAAAUAGUCCAAUCUGUUUUUGCUUCAAAAUAAAACCAUAGGAACAAGCAGCUGGAGUUUAGAAAAAAGAAAAUGUUCCAUCUCCCUUAUUUAAGGCUAUAAGAAACGACGGUUGUUUGAUCACCUCACUGUCUGUACAAGAGUGGAGAUAAACAUUUUGUCUGAAUAAAGAGAAGAAUGUAAUGUCACCCUCAUCAGGCAUCCUGUCAAUUUUAAUAUCAUUUUUGAAAUAUUCUCACUGCCCGCGUAAACUCUGCGUUAGUUUCAGCUGUUAAAGAAAACAGAAAUGCCAACCUUGAUAAAUGGUUCCGCUAAAGUAGGUCGAUAUGAAAUUCACAUGUAAAAAACACCACAGCUUUUACAAACACUUCAUUAAAAAUAACCAAUAACAAGAUACAGCAAAGCAUGUAUGACUCCUGCAGCUGCAGGAAAAUAUAUUAAUAUUAAAUUGUACCUGUUUUAUUGAUAGAAUUACACUGAUUUACACCUACUGAAUUAGGAAUAUUAGCCCUUUUAGAUGUUUUGUUCUUUGUAGAAUAAAAGAGUUUUCCGUUUCAGCUCUGUUCAGGCCUGUCGCUUGCAAUAGUUCUGGUUAGACGACAUGAUUUGUGCUCAGGUUCUGACCAGCAUUUUUAGCUCUCAGUUCUCCAAGCAAGUCACAGGAGCGCUUGACAUUCAGGGAUUCUGCAAAUGUUUUACUCGUGAGGGUUAAGUAAUAAUACAGAGAUAAUGUUUCUGUCAGACGUUCCAAGCACAUCGUCUCUCUCACAACUCAACCUCCUUAAAUCAGUCCGCGGUGUGGUUUCAAGCACGAUGCUUGAUGUUUGGCCCUGAAAAACCACUUCAAGCUAAUGCUGCACUUUUAAUAUUUUACAGGGAAUAAAAAUGCUCAAACUUUUUCUCCCUUGGAGAAAAUAUGAUGCUUCUAAAAUAGUAAAAGAGGUGAUUUUCUUCUUUGACAAACUUUAUGCUCACAAACAACAGCUUGUCAUUGCUUCUGUUUUCUGGCUGACUUAGUUUGAGCUUUGGGUUGUUCUUCCUUUUAUUUAAUUUUUUUUUGUCAGUCGUUUUAAUAUUCCACAACAAAAUGUCGUCAUAAAAACUUAUACUAUAUUUAGGUCACUUUAACACAUGAUUAUGUAUGUGCUUUAGUAAAAGUGAUGGGUAGCGCCGCUUUAGCAUCGACAUCAUGACCAUCACUGUUUUUUUUACAAGCAGAAAUAUUUGUCUGGGAGGAGGAGAGCAGAGGUAUUCUAUUAUCCAGUGACUCUGAUACGUCCUCCAGCUUCUCAUUCAAAUCACAUUAAACCACAGAAAUGUUUAUAUCCUACCAGAAAAUUUCUUAACGUUUGAAAGAGUCACUUGCUUCGGCUUGAUUCUGGCAACUGAAUCUGUGCCUAUUACGAAGCAUAAAACCUAAAUAGACUAGCCUUAUUUCAUCACCACUUUUUUUACUCCACAGCUGUUAUGUGAGCCACAUUGUUUGUUAAAAGGAGCAGACAGCUCUUAUUCAAAUAAAUAACCCAUCUGCGAGGACAGUCUGAGAGCAACGGACCUGCGGAUUCGUCAGACAUCUUUGUUCUCACAUGUUGCUGUAGCACUUUGUACAACCGUGACAUAAUUAGUUGAGGUGAAGCAGGAAUGAUGCGCUCCAGCACCGCUUGAUCCCGUUGCUUCUUCUUGAACAGCAUCAACACUAAAGACAGGAAAUGAUACAGUGUGCCAUCAUAAAUUAUAUGUUUAGCAUAAAAGGCAUGAGUUUUCUCAACAGCACGAGUCUGUACAAAGAUUGAUCCUUUCUCCUCCGGCAUAUUUAUAGAUGUUUUGAGCGAAGUAGUUCACUCUAAGUGGCCCCUAAUUAAAUUAUAUAUAUUUCUUUUCCCAUUGUCACUGUUGCAUUAAAUAAAUCUUGACGCAUUUUUGGUGUCUGGUGUCUUCUGUUUUUAUGAGGGAGUGGUGUUUAGUGGAGCCGCGGGAAGCCAGUUCUCCACAGGCGCAGCUGACUUGUUGAGCACUAAAUAAGGAAGGAGAAGAGAGUCGACUAUGUUUGCGCCGAAGUCUUCCACUGAGGCAAUUGUCCUUGGACCGCACCAACUGUAGUCGGAGUAAAUUACAGUUUAAUGCAGUAAACAAAUUAGAAUGCAGACAUCUAAUUUGCCGGCAACGACGAGCAGACAAGCAGGAAAUCCUUGAGCGAUCUACGGCUACCUGCCGGACUGUUCGUUUCAAGGGGACUGAAACGAGCGGAGGACACGGUUAGUCUCUCUUAUACGUCCGUGUGGGUUGAUAUUUCCAUACCGCAUCUCCUUUUCCUGCUAACAAACCACGAGGGGAUCUGGGUUUUGAGACGGACCGUGAUCCUUGAUACGCAACCUGCUUCCUCUGCUGGUCUUGCGAGGUAAUUUUGAUAUGGCUGCCAGACAGCUGAGAUGAUACAGAUGCAAAUAUGGGACAGAUGAGCCGAAAGGCUUACUGUGCCGGAGAAACAUGGGAGAAAACAGGAUUUAUUUAUUUAUUUCAAGGGUACACUUUGUUGAGAUCUGGAGCAAAAUGUUUUAAUCUAAAACAACUUUUUAAAGUAUCUAUAGAACAUCAUUAGCGAAUGAUAAAUAGAUGAGCACUGUUCUCAACUUAACUUUGGUUUGCAGGCGAUUUAUAUAUCUGCGCUAACAUGUAUUUCUGCCUUUUUGGCACUUUAUGAUAGAUUCCCACCCAAAGAAAUCACUUUACUUUCUUUCUGGAUGAAAAUCCUUAAAAAAUCAAAUCAUUUGUUUGCUGCAUCAUACAUAUUAGGCGUAUCUAAUGACAUUAAAUACAUAUUUUGUUCCCCAAACCCUUUGAUUGAAGCGUUAUCUUCUUCUACUGUUAGCAGAUCAAACAGGCAGCAUCUAUAUCAUCUCUGAAUGUCCAGGUUGCCUGAGUCUUGGCUGGGCAGCAAUAUCUGUCCACCAGCCAGGCUAUCUCCACACCAACCAUUGCUAUACUGGCCAAUGGUUGGCUUUAGUCACACUACUUCCAUUAAGACUUUGGGUUUCAGCCCAGAGAUGCCCCACAAAUCCAGGACAUACAAGUAUAGACAAUGCAGCGAGCAAACUGUCUAAUUACAAGCAUAGAAGAUGCCAGUGUGUCAGCUUGCCAUAGAGCCAGUCAAAAACAAAACGACAGCAGCAUCUUCGUUGUAGUUUUACAUGCUUGCAGCUGUGAAUAUUCUAUCCGGUGUAACACAAAUCAUUCCGUAAAUCAUGUCUAGCUCGCUUCACAGUAUGCAUUUAACUUAUACAUUUUUUUUUCACUGCAUUAUCUUGAAGAAGCAGAAGAACUUGUAAAAUCUGCCUUUAAUUGUGUUCAAUUGCUCAAAUGAUCUCCAAGACACUAAAUGGGACGAAAGGGAGGCAAGAAACUGCAGAACUCUAGUAGACGCAGACAUACUGCACAUUGUUUUUAUCGAGCUUCGUGUCGAGCAGGAUGCUGAAAAGCAGAACGUUCAAUAGCAGUCUCAAGGCUGCACAAAGCACCAUUGAGACGAGUUCAUGUCUGCAGCUGAUGAUGAAUUAAACGUCCCUGAACCAAAGUCAUGGAGAGACGGCUCAGACUCGGCAGCGUGGGCUUCGAUUUAGCAAGGCCAGAGUCAUUUUUAUCAGAUUAGAGGAAAAUCCGUAGUUUGCCUGUCUGCUCAGAGGCGCUAAUAGAGACGGUUGCAGGGCCGUACGGGGAGUCUACAUAUUGAGAGACACAGUCAGUCAUUUAACAAGGGUAAUUACAUAAGCCAGACAUACACAGCAUGGAAACACACCGCGGUGUGUUUAUUAGAGUCAUUCUUCUUAGUGUUAAACAGCUCACACGAGCUUUUUAGCAGAAGGCCAAACCUGGAGAUGAGACGAAGGUUUACGGAGCUCUGGAGUCUGAAAAAUCUCCUGGUCAAUUCGCCCCUUUGCCAGAACACACUCCAUCUCUGACCCAUCCGCUGCCAUCUCGUUCAAACCUACUUCCAUUUUGCAUCCAUGCGUUUAAUCAUUUAAUCAUUUCUUAGUAUUUGUAUUGAUUGUGGAGAUGAAAAGUCAUUAAAUGCUUACUUGUAAUCUAAUUUAGUUGUAUGCUAUUUGCUGGAAACUUUACAUCAAAUUAGGUUGCCAUGGGUUACUGCUCUGAUCCCUGUUUAAGCCAUUUGACUUGAGUUUGAAUUCAUCUUAUGCAACUCUAAAUGACCUCCUACUUGUGGAUAUUAACUAUUUGUCAUCCUCCAGGCUCCAGGCAUAACAUUAUGACCUAGUAUCAAACCAUUAUUUCCACAUCCUUGUGGCUUUCUGAAAGAGACCACAGACAUCAGGAAUGGUAUGAGAGUCGUACGCAACAAACUGUGGUACAAAAUGUAAUAUUUCAUUGAGAACCUGCAUUAACUUUGGCUACAGGUACCCCCCAUGGCCGUGACACUGGUUUGGCCUCUUUCUUUCUGGGACCAGUAAACUGGAAGCCAACCACAUGAGAUUCUUUGACAAAGCUGCUGCUGGCCACCUGAAUCAUGCUCGUCAGGCUCUCGACGCCAUUUUUUGCAUUUCUUUAGAUAGAAAACUUUUUAAAACAAUUUGAAUAUUGGACUUGAACCUAGUGAGCGGUUUGAUCAGUUGGAGUGCAACGAACUUACUUUUUUGUCAGGUGCCUUUACAUGAAGUGUUGUGAAUUGGCGCUAUGUAAAUGAACUGAAUUGAACUGAACCUGGCUCUUGUCAAACUCACUGGAAUCCUUAAACUCACCGACCUUUUCUGUUUUUAACACAUUAACUUGCCGCCUAAUGUCUCCAACAUGAUGCAUGAUGAAGGGACGAUCGGGGUUAUUCAUGUCACAGUGGUCAUAAAGUUAUGCCUUGGUGGAGUUGGAUAAUUCCUGAGAAUUGUUGAUUGUCACAGCAGAUACGAAACAUCCUCUUGAUGAAUAUGAAUGGACCAAUGAUUGGUAGGAGAUAUUCUGCAGCACUAUUUAAUUCCCAGAAAAUUAUAGGACUAAAAGUACGAAAUGGCAAAGGGACGAAGUAACCAGCACCACUUCAAAAGAGUCCUCUUGUUUUAGAAAUACAGCAAUUUUUGGGGGGAGGUCUAACUUUUGCUCUCUCUAAGCAUCUGUUUCUUCUCUCUCCUCCUCCUUUUCCACCCCUGUG